UGGUUAGACAACACCUGGAGAAA
Molecule: small nuclear RNA, 23 nt
Filed under: Arabidopsis thaliana (thale cress)
Lineage: Eukaryota; Viridiplantae; Streptophyta; Magnoliopsida; Brassicales; Brassicaceae
Description: snRNA_01803
Source: RNAcentral